GUUGCUCCGGCGGCGCUCGGGGAGGGAGCCAGCAGCCUGGGGCCCAGGCCCGGGCCACCAUGGCGCUGCCUUCGGGCCCAGCCGCCCUCCGGCACCAGCACCUUCACAGUCACAGCCCAUCGGGCUCAGCAUGAGCUCAACUGCUCCCUGCAGGACCCCAGCAGUGGCCGAUCAGCCAACGCCUCUGUCAUCCUCAAUGUGCAAUUCAAGCCAGAGAUUGCCCAAGUCGGUGCCAAGUACCAGGAAGCUCAGGGCCCAGGCCUCCUGGUUGUCCUGUUUGCCCUGGUGCGUGCCAACCCGCCUGCCAAUGUCACCUGGAUCGACCAGGAUGGGCCAGUGACUGUCAACACCUCUGACUUCCUGGUGCUGGAUGCGCAGAACUACCCCUGGCUCACCAACCAUACGGUGCAGCUGCAGCUCCGCAGCCUGGCACACAAUCUCUCGGUGGUGGCCACCAAUGACGUGGGUGUCACCAGUGCCUCGCUUCCAGCCCCAGGGCUUCUGGCUACCCGGGUGGAAGUGCCACUGCUGGGCAUUGUUGUGGCUGCUGGGCU
This 554-nucleotide small RNA is filed under the name Pongo abelii (Sumatran orangutan). RNAcentral's name for it is "processed transcript". The record is from RNAcentral. Lineage: Eukaryota; Metazoa; Chordata; Mammalia; Primates; Hominidae.